UGCCCCGGACCGAGGCGGAGCGGAGGCGGACGCGCGGGGGGGCGGGCGGCCAGGCAGGCAGUGAGCGCGCUCUGCUCCGGCCCGCGCGGCUCCCGCGCCCCACGCGCUGCGCCAGCCUCGCCAGCUGCGGGGCGGCUUUCAUUCUGGGAGUGGGCGGGCGAGGCGCCGCCUCGGGCCGCUGCGCUAAUUGGCUGCCGAACUGAGCCCCCUGCGCCACGGGCGCCGCUCCGGACGCUGAUUGGUGAAUCGGGCAUCGGCAAGAAAAGACGUGGGGAGGCAAGACUUGGCGGGACCUAAAGAUGCAGUUUUUAAGUCAGAGCAGCCCAGCAAUCAAGUAACUUCCGUUUGCACAGCGUUUUGGAGAGCUUACAACUGGGUGAAAUCCUCAAACAAACCUCAGAGAGGUUCAGAGAGGUUUUGGUUCUUGCCUAAUGAAGAAAAUGAGACCCAGAGAAGAGAAGGGCUCCUUUAAGGUCACACGGUGAAUUUGUCACAGCCAGAACUAGGACUCAGGCCUCUUCAUGACUGGCAUGGUGGCCUUCCCACUAUAUCAUGGAACCUGAAGAAGUCUGGAAUGAAACAGGAAGAGUCAGAGUGUGACAGUGUCUUCGAGGGAUACCUUCAGAUUGAUGGAAGCAGGAAGACAGAUCAGGAUGGGCCUCAUCUCAGAGGUUAGACAGCGUUGCUCAGUUUCUUCUGGA
Molecule: long non-coding RNA, 701 nt
Organism: Physeter macrocephalus (sperm whale)
Lineage: Eukaryota; Metazoa; Chordata; Mammalia; Artiodactyla; Physeteridae
Exons: 4
Source: RefSeq, a predicted model, not a curated record